RNAcentral lists this long non-coding RNA (911 nucleotides) under Physcomitrium patens. Its description in RNAcentral is "long non-coding RNA (PPAT_LNC009340)". Lineage: Eukaryota; Viridiplantae; Streptophyta; Bryopsida; Funariales; Funariaceae. The record is from RNAcentral.
AAUGUGCAUCCCCUUCAUUUCUUUCUUGCUUUAUCUGUGCCUGAAAAUUAGAAGCAUUGUUUUUCUUUAGAUUCAUGUGGAUAUUUCAAUAGUUAAAGUCCUUCAUCUGCUUUAAAGUAUGCCUUUCCCCAUAGUAUCUUGUGCAACCGUCUUUCAGCACAUAGGUAUGCUAGAGCUUCUUCUAGGAUAUUAGAUUGCGAUCUGUUUGUGUUCUCUUUUGUCGCCCUAUUCGACUUCUAGGGUCUAUGAUAAAUCCUCUGUUUUAUUUGUAGAUUUCAAGGCAUACAUAAUUUAGCAAAUACUCAAGUUUGAAUUUUAUAUAUAUAAAUAUACCAGCCAUCAUCUUUUUAUGAGUUCACGGUGAUGCUUUUAUCUGGAUGUCAUACAAUUGCGGUGAAUAUUAUGUGAAUGGAUGAUACAGCACCGGCUGGUGAUGUCAAGGUAUAUGUGCUGAAGAGCCUUGUACCGGAGGAGCUGGCCAAGAGAUUCAUAGAAACCAAAGACAUCGCUGCUCCUAUGGGUUUUGCAGUUGUUGUGGUUGGUGUUCUUCAACUUGCCGGAGACAAAGUUCCAGAAGGUAACGUGUUGAUUACAAGAAAAUUAUCUCAGUUCAAUAAAUUAAAAAAUGGUUCCUAUAUGCAUUACAUCAGUCUUUCUGUCCUAUGAUGAUGUCAUCUGCAGUUGCAACAUUUUAUUAGAACCUCCAAAAAUACACUUAAAUAUAUGUUCCCACCCGAAUUGAUAUUACAUUUAUAUUGUAUGGUUUAUCGACCUUAGCUAGGGCUCAAGCGAGAUCUGGGAUGAUUGCUGAAGUGUGUCAUGAAACAUAGCCGUGGUGAGUCUGCCCAUUAAUUGAAUUGAAGGGGCGCUCUUUGGUACGGGCAGGUACACUGUGGACACAAUUAAAACGA